RNAcentral lists this ribosomal RNA (332 nucleotides) under uncultured bacterium. Its description in RNAcentral is "bacterial SSU rRNA". It matches the Rfam family "Bacterial small subunit ribosomal RNA", at positions 568 to 898 of the family's 1533-position model. The record is from RNAcentral.
CGUGUAGGCGGGAAAGUAAGUCAGAUGUGAAAUUCCAGGGCUCAACUCUGGCGCUGCAUCUGAAACUAUUUUUCUUGAGUGAUGGAGAGGAAAGUGGAAUUCCUAGUGUAGCGGUGAAAUGCGUAGAUAUUAGGAGGAACACCAGUGGCGAAGGCGACUUUCUGGACAUUAACUGACGCUGAGGCGCGAAAGCGUGGGGAGCAAACAGGAUUAGAUACCCUGGUAGUCCACGCUGUAAACGAUGGAUACUAGGUGUAGGGGGUAUCGACCCCCCCUGUGCCGGAGUUAACACAAUAAGUAUCCCACCUGGGGAGUACGGCCGCAAGGUUGAA